Molecule: ribosomal RNA, 1022 nt
Filed under: Salmonella enterica subsp. enterica serovar Potsdam
Lineage: Bacteria; Pseudomonadati; Pseudomonadota; Gammaproteobacteria; Enterobacterales; Enterobacteriaceae
Description: partial 23S ribosomal RNA
Rfam family: Bacterial large subunit ribosomal RNA
Source: RNAcentral
AGACCCGAAACCCGGUGAUCUAGCCAUGGGCAGGUUGAAGGUUGGGUAACACUAACUGGAGGACCGAACCGACUAAUGUUGAAAAAUUAGCGGAUGACCUGUGGCUGGGGGUGAAAGGCCAAUCAAACCGGGAGAUAGCUGGUUCUCCCCGAAAGCUAUUUAGGUAGCGCCUCGUGAAUUCAUCUCCGGGGGUAGAGCACUGUUUCGGCUAGGGGGCCAUCCCGGCUUACCAACCCGAUGCAAACUGCGAAUACCGGAGAAUGUUAUCACGGGAGACACACGGCGGGUGCUAACGUCCGUCGUGAAGAGGGAAACAACCCAGACCGCCAGCUAAGGUCCCAAAGUCAUGGUUAAGUGGGAAACGAUGUGGGAAGGCCCAGACAGCCAGGAUGUUGGCUUAGAAGCAGCCAUCAUUUAAAGAAAGCGUAAUAGCUCACUGGUCGAGUCGGCCUGCGCGGAAGAUGUAACGGGGCUAAACCAUGCACCGAAGCUGCGGCAGCGACACUGUGUGUUGUUGGGUAGGGGAGCGUUCUGUAAGCCUGUGAAGGUGGCCUGUGAGGGUUGCUGGAGGUAUCAGAAGUGCGAAUGCUGACAUAAGUAACGAUAAAGCGGGUGAAAAGCCCGCUCGCCGGAAGACCAAGGGUUCCUGUCCAACGUUAAUCGGGGCAGGGUGAGUCGACCCCUAAGGCGAGGCCGAAAGGCGUAGUCGAUGGGAAACGGGUUAAUAUUCCCGUACUUGGUGUUACUGCGAAGGGGGGACGGAGAAGGCUAUGUUGGCCGGGCGACGGUUGUCCCGGUUUAAGCGUGUAGGCUGGUUUUCCAGGCAAAUCCGGAAAAUCAAGGCUGAGGCGUGAUGACGAGGCACUACGGUGCUGAAGCAACAAAUGCCCUGCUUCCAGGAAAAGCCUCUAAGCAUCAGGUAACAUCAAAUCGUACCCCAAACCGACACAGGUGGUCAGGUAGAGAAUACCAAGGCGCUUGAGAGAACUCGGGUGAAGGAACUAGGCAAAAUGGUGCCGUAA